Molecule: long non-coding RNA, 341 nt
Organism: Nycticebus coucang (slow loris)
Lineage: Eukaryota; Metazoa; Chordata; Mammalia; Primates; Lorisidae
Exons: 3
Source: RefSeq, a predicted model, not a curated record
GGCAGAGUUCCUCUUUUUGUGUGGUUGGAUACUCGAAUGGCCACUAUGUUCACCAGUGGCUAGUUCCUGGAGCCCAAGUUCACUGAUUGCAAAUGGAAGGAUUUAAACCGGAACAUUGAGUCCUGUUCCUCAAAGCCAUCCAGCUGCUAGCCUGGCAUUGAACAUUCCCGCUGAUGAUCUAUUAAAAAAAAUGGAGACUUUACAUUCUUCGUAUUAACCUGGAUGGAAGUGGAAGACAUUAUUCUUAGUAAAGCAUCACAAGAAUGGAGAAGCAUGAAUCCUAUGUACUCAAUUUUGAUAUGAGGACAAUUAAUGACAAUUAAGGUCAUGGGGGGGAAGGA